GGGCGGGCUCCUGGGGCCGGACCCCGGGGCGCUGAGCCCCGCGCAGCAGGAGCAGCUGCGGGACUUCAAGAUUCAGACUCGGAUUGCUAACGAAAAAUACCUGAGGACCCACAAAGAAGUGGACCUGCUCAUAAGCGGUUUCUUCAGAGAAAUGUUUCUGAAAAGACCAGACAACAUCCAAGAAUUUGCUGCAGAUCCAAGACUUCCCAACAAGAUUCACAUGCAGCUAAUUAAGGAGAAGAAAGCAGCUUAAUUAGCAGAAUCAUGAUGCUCAGCUGCCGAGAGAGACCAGAAAGAAUCCAGCCUUAGGGGUCUCCUGGAAGCAAGGGAGCCCUUUGUCAUCAUCAGUGUGUGGUUCCAAGCCUCCUUGGGCCGUGUCUGCUGUUGCAAAGGCUUUUAAAGAUAUUCAUUAAAAACAGACCUUUCCACUCUUUCUGCUGUAUUUCACUCCAAAGGAGGAAGCCAUCCAGCACAGAGGGCUGUUGUGCCCCUCCUUUGACCUGAGAAGCCACAGGGCGGGUGGGCUGUCUGCGGCAGCCCAUGGGCCUCCGCUAGGUCAGGGGCUGCUCCCACAUGUGCCUCAACACUGUGUCCUCUCUGCCCCUCCAGGCCACUUGCUCCCAAAGCCAAGGCUGGACAAAAGAAUGAGGGCGGGGAUCCUGCGAGGACCACAGUUGAUCAGGGUGGUACUGAAGCCCUGUCCACACUUUAGCAUGGCUUGUUUGUUGUUUGUUUUUCCCAUCUUCCCUCCUGGGUUACUGUAUGGGGUGUACAGGUGGUGGUUUAACUCUUUUCUACCAGCGAUAACAGCAGCUGGGCUGGAAAGACAGUAAAAAAAUGAGAUUGGACAAAGAAAACCCAUUCAGGGCCAUGCCACUUGUAAAAUAUGAAUCUAACAGGUGACUCAGAGGUGGUGGACUUUGUUCUUGAGGAUUUUUACCAACAAGCCACCCGUCCAUUUGGUUUUCAGCUAACAGGCAGGGGAGUGGGCCAGUUGGCCUUUUGACAUCCUUUUCAGGCCCAGAAGGCAUCCAUGUCUUCUGUGUUAUGCCCCGUUCCUUUGGCCUCCACAAUCCACUGUAUGAAGGACCUCUCACCUAUGUGUGUCGUCCACAUCACCAUGGCAACAGAGGCUUAGCCUAAAGCAGGGGCUGUGUUCUUUUUCUUUCCCUUGUCCCUGUCUGUCUCAUUCCCAGCUACCAGCCCCUGCCAUGGUGGAAGGGCAACAAAACCAGGUGGCAAGAGAACUAUUAAAUCUAUGCAUAAUAAGCGAUGUAGCAGGAACCGAAGAGUUAUUUCAAGUGCUUUCAGAAUUACACUUCAGUGGCUAUGGCUCUGACAGUGAGGUAUCCCUGUUUAGAAAAUCCAGAUGAAGCCUUCAGCAGAAAACACAUGUACCAAGGACCUCUGAUGAGAUGUGUUAAAUUAGUCUCUUGAAGGCUUUCCUGGGAAGAGAGGUCUGCAACAAGGUGGGGGAAGAACAAAGUGUUUUUCAGAUGCUUGAGUGCAUGAUAUGAUACUGCAAGAGUAUAGUGACUCAUUCUUGGGGGGUUCCUGGCAGAAAUAAGAAAUGCAUUUCAAAACAAAACAACAACAACAACAACAACAACAAAAAGAAAUGCAUUUCAAUUAGAACAUAUUUCCAAGCCAAGGAAAGAAGGCAUUUGGCACACGGUCCAGAGAGCAUCUGUUCUGUAUGACAUCGUGUGCCAGGUUCUGAGGGUAAGGUGGGGAGGUCAUCCUGCCACGCGGUGCUGUAUGGUCUGGGAGGAGAUGUGGAACUUAUCACCCCAAACUUUAACUGUCCAGA
This 1810-nucleotide long non-coding RNA is filed under the name Canis lupus familiaris (dog). Its description in RNAcentral is "regulatory subunit of type II PKA R-subunit domain containing 1 (ENSCAFG00000052888.1)". Lineage: Eukaryota; Metazoa; Chordata; Mammalia; Carnivora; Canidae. The record is from RNAcentral.